RNAcentral lists this ribosomal RNA (240 nucleotides) under uncultured Gardnerella sp. RNAcentral's name for it is "partial 16S ribosomal RNA". It matches the Rfam family "Bacterial small subunit ribosomal RNA", at positions 114 to 355 of the family's 1533-position model. The record is from RNAcentral. Lineage: Bacteria; Bacillati; Actinomycetota; Actinomycetes; Bifidobacteriales; Bifidobacteriaceae.
UGCGUGACCAACCUGCCCCAUGCUCCAGAAUAGCUCUUGGAAACGGGUGGUAAUGCUGGAUGCUCCAACUUGACGCAUGUCUUGUUGGGAAAGUGUUUAGUGGCAUGGGAUGGGGUCGCGUCCUAUCAGCUUGUAGGCGGGGUAAUGGCCCACCUAGGCUUCGACGGGUAGCCGGCCUGAGAGGGCGGACGGCCACAUUGGGACUGAGAUACGGCCCAGACUCCUACGGGAGGCAGCAGC